This 47-nucleotide transfer RNA is filed under the name Leptotrombidium pallidum. RNAcentral describes it as "tRNA-Ala". Lineage: Eukaryota; Metazoa; Arthropoda; Arachnida; Trombidiformes; Trombiculidae. The record is from RNAcentral.
AGAAAUGUUUUAGAAUUUGCAAUUCUUAUAGGUGUCCACCAUUUCUA